GCUUUCGUAGCACAAUGGUAGUGCGACUGCCUUGUAAGCAGUAGGUUGUGAGUUCGAGUCUCACCGGAAGCCCCA
RNAcentral lists this transfer RNA (75 nucleotides) under Clostridiales bacterium. Its description in RNAcentral is "tRNA-Thr". It matches the Rfam family "tRNA". Rfam says of the family: Transfer RNA (tRNA) molecules are approximately 80 nucleotides in length. Their secondary structure includes four short double-helical elements and three loops (D, anti-codon, and T loops). Lineage: Bacteria; Bacillati; Bacillota; Clostridia; Eubacteriales. The record is from RNAcentral.